AGCCUUGGCACACCUUCGUAUGCGUCUCUAGAUUUGCAUUCUAGCGUGAAUCACUACAAGAC
Molecule: transfer RNA, 62 nt
Filed under: Lamprolepis smaragdina
Lineage: Eukaryota; Metazoa; Chordata; Lepidosauria; Squamata; Scincidae
Description: tRNA-Cys
Source: RNAcentral